GAUCGCAAGACGGAAAAAAAAUCCAGCGUCUUUUAAAUUCGUAAAGAGCAACUCACUUGUUAACAUGUACAAAAUGAGUUUUGGGACCAGAAGCACGGGUACGAGACAGACGAUUUGAAGAACAACCCUCAACUUGAGCUGCUGGUCGAAUCGACUUCAAGCGUUGAGUGACAAAUUGUGUCUAUAUCAGGAGAGAAGCUCAAAGCUAAAGCUGCUGGUCGAGUCGAUGUCAAGCGUUGAGUGACAGAUUGUGUCUAUAUCAGGAGAGAAGCUCAAAGCUGAGGAAAUUCAGUCCUUCUUCGAAGAUAAACAGUAAACACUGAGUAACGAAGCUAAGGUCAUUGUGAAG
Pocillopora verrucosa is the source of this 349-nucleotide non-coding RNA. Lineage: Eukaryota; Metazoa; Cnidaria; Anthozoa; Scleractinia; Pocilloporidae. The record is from RefSeq and is a predicted model, not a curated record.